UACGUAGGGGGCUAGCGUUGUCCGGAAUCAUUGGGCGUAAAGCGCGUGUAGGCGGCCACGUUAGUCCGUUCUGAAAGCCCGGGGCUCAACCCCGGGAGGCGGAUGGAUACUGCGUGGCUCGAGUCCGGAAGAGGCGAGUGGAAUUCCUGGUGUAGCGGUGAAAUGCGCAGAUAUCAGGAGGAACACCAAUGGCGAAGGCAGCUCGCUGGGACGUGACUGACGCUGAGACGCGAAAGCAUGGGGAGCGAACAGG
RNAcentral lists this ribosomal RNA (253 nucleotides) under uncultured bacterium. RNAcentral describes it as "partial 16S ribosomal RNA". It matches the Rfam family "Bacterial small subunit ribosomal RNA", at positions 524 to 776 of the family's 1533-position model. The record is from RNAcentral.